CCCUUUGAUGUUCUGGGCCGCACGCGCGCUACACUGAUGCAUUCAACAAGCCUAGCCUUGACCGAGAGGUCCGGGUAAUCUUUGAAACUGCAUCGUGAUGGGGCUAGAUUAUUGCAAUUAUUAAUCUUCAACGAGGAAUGCCUAGUAAGCGUGAUUCAUCAAAUCGCGUUGAUUACGUCCCUGCCCUUUGUACACACCGCCCGUCGCUCCUACCGAUUGAAUGUGUUGGUGAGGAGCUCGGAUUGGCAGCAGUUGGUGGUUCGCCACCGGCUAUUGCUGAGAAGUCCUCCAAACCGCCCCAUUUAGAGGAAGGAGAAGUCGUAACA
RNAcentral lists this ribosomal RNA (326 nucleotides) under uncultured eukaryote. RNAcentral's name for it is "partial 18S ribosomal RNA". It matches the Rfam family "Eukaryotic small subunit ribosomal RNA", at positions 1470 to 1796 of the family's 1831-position model. The record is from RNAcentral.